GUGCAACUUGUUGAUUCCAUGACGCUCUAGACUAAGAGAUGGCUUCAGAUCUGAAAGAAUUGUCUUUUUACACUUACCAUGCUCCUCCUUGCACUCCUUAAUGGCAUCGAGACUUGUGCUGCCAACUGCUCCUGUUCCAGUUCCCGCGCCAACUGCCACUCCCACUCCUGUGCCACUGCCCGUUUUUUUGGGUUUCCGUUUUCGUGUCUGAAUUCCAUCCUUCCGCAUGGCCAAUGGCCUAUUGACGCCAUGGAGUUUGUAGUACAGUCCACAGGCGUUGCAUACUGGUUCACCAUCGUUAUUCCGCCGCCAGAGAGUGGUGGUGCGAGUGCCACAAUUAGUGCAGCAAAGUCCGAGUCGCCGUGUAGCGGUCUGUGUGGGAGACAUAUGUAUUGGUUAGCAUUAUAAUGCUCACUACAAAUAUUUGAUUUUGGAUUACUCACUGCACUCACCAGGCGCUUGCUGGGCUUAAUCAACGGCCUGUUCAUGCCAUUCAUUUUGUGAUAUAACCCGCAAGCAUUACAUAGAUAGUGGCCAGUUCCAUCUCGCCGCCAGAGUGGGGUCGAAAUGGCCCCACAGUUGACACAUUCGCGUCCUUCUCCAAACUGAAAGUCCAUGGCACUCUCAUACGGUGAUGAUCGUUGGAAACCAGUUGGAUCGUAAGCGCUGCGCCAGGAUCCCAUCAUAACGGCUGCAUUCUGUGUAUAAAACUGCGCCGGCAACUGGGCAUGGGCCGAGCCAAAGCUGUCCGUGGUCCAAGCGUUCUGUGCAGCGGCGCUACCAAAAUGAGCUGCCACAUGGUUGUACUGGCGGUUUGAAGGCACGUAGACCGGUGCAUUGACCGCCUGCUGAUGAUGGUAUCCCGAGGCGCCAAUGCCAACACCCACUCCUGCACCGGCUGCUGCUGCUGCACUACCCGCUGCUGCAAGAUCUGUGUAGGCGGCUGCUGCCACAGCACUCGAAUGAUACAUCUUGGAGCUGGCAGCGGCCGCAAUGGGGGCCACUUGCCUGUUCUGAUAAUUAUCGACGCUGGACUGCUGAUCCGAGAUUUGGUCUCAUUGGGCGACUCAUCGUUGAUUGGCUGGCAGCCAUUUUGAUUUCGAAAUCUUGCAACCAUGUACAAGAAAAAGGGAGAGAGUGCACCAAGAUGACGAGAGCGAAAGAGAGUGGAACUCGUUUUCUGCCCUUUAGCAGUUCCAUCUCUUACACGUAAUGGCGCUCUGAAUGAGUAUGUGUCUAUAUCUGAAUCGGUUUCUGUAUAUUGGGGCAUCGGCAAGCAUUUAUCUCGUGGCUCACUGCUAUUGUUUGCCUAAGGAUCAAGAUAAUCUGGGCCGAAUCGAAGAUUAAAUACUCUUGCAAUAUUAUCUUUAAGAUAGUUAGAUGACUCUUUUUAAUAACUUUUAUUUUCUAAUACCUACAAAUUUGUGUACGAAAGAAAAUUUGAUUUU
Drosophila willistoni is the source of this 1448-nucleotide long non-coding RNA. RefSeq lists it as uncharacterized. The transcript is spliced from 3 exons. The record is from RefSeq and is a predicted model, not a curated record. NCBI's taxonomy places the organism in Eukaryota, Metazoa, Arthropoda, Insecta, Diptera, Drosophilidae.